CCUACGGGAGGCAGCAGUGAGGAAUAUUGGUCAAUGGACGCAAGUCUGAACCAGCCAUGCCGCGUGCAGGAAGACGGCUCUAUGAGUUGUAAACUGCUUUUGUACGAGGGUAAACGCAGAUACGCGUAUCUGUCUGAAAGUAUCGUACGAAUAAGGAUCGGCUAACUCCGUGCCAGCAGCCGCGGUAAUACGGAGGAUUCAAGCGUUAUCCGGAUUUAUUGGGUUUAAAGGGUGCGUAGGCGGUCGGAUAAGUUAGAGGUGAAAUCCCGAGGCUCAACUUCGGAAUUGCCUCUGAUACUGUUAGGCUAGAGAGUAGUGGAGGUAGGCGGAAUGUAUGGUGUAGCGGUGAAAUGCUUAGAGAUCAUACAGAACACCGAUUGCGAAGGCAGCUUACCAAGCUACUUCUGACGUUGAGGCACGAAAGCGUGGGGAGCAAACAGGAUUAGAUACCCCAGUAGUC
This 460-nucleotide ribosomal RNA is filed under the name uncultured bacterium. RNAcentral's name for it is "partial 16S ribosomal RNA". It matches the Rfam family "Bacterial small subunit ribosomal RNA", at positions 338 to 795 of the family's 1533-position model. The record is from RNAcentral.